Molecule: ribosomal RNA, 206 nt
Filed under: uncultured bacterium
Lineage: Bacteria
Description: partial 16S ribosomal RNA
Rfam family: Bacterial small subunit ribosomal RNA
Source: RNAcentral
CUCGUAGGCGGCCAACUAAGUCCGACGUGAAAUCCCCAGGCUUAACCUGGGAACUGCGUCGGAUACUGGAUGGCUUGAAUUCGGGAGAGGGAUGCAGAAUUCCAGGUGUAGCGGUGAAAUGCGUAGAUAUCUGGAGGAAUACCGGUGGCGAAGGCGGCAUCCUGGACCGACAUUGACGCUCAUGAGCGAAAGCUAGGGAGCAAACG